Molecule: ribosomal RNA, 253 nt
Filed under: uncultured bacterium
Lineage: Bacteria
Description: partial 16S ribosomal RNA
Rfam family: Bacterial small subunit ribosomal RNA
Source: RNAcentral
UACGGGGGGAGCAAGCGUUGUUCGGAUUUACUGGGCGUAAAGGGCGCGUAGGCGGCGCAACAAGUCACUUGUGAAAUCUCCGGGCUUAACCCGGAGCGGUCAAGUGAUACUGUCGUGCUAGAGUGCGGAAGGGGCUACUGGAAUUCUCGGUGUAGAGGUGAAAUUCGUAGAUAUCGAGAGGAACACCGGUGGCGAAGGCGGCCUUCUGGACAGUGACUGACGCUGAGACGCGAAAGCGUGGGGAGCAAACAGG